AGUGAACGCUGGCGGCAGGCCUAACACAUGCAAGUCGAACGGCAGCACAGUAAGAGCUUGCUCUUACGGGUGGCGAGUGGCGGACGGGUGAGGAAUACAUCGGAAUCUACUUUUUCGUGGGGGAUAACGUAGGGAAACUUACGCUAAUACCGCAUACGAUCUACGGGUGAAAGCAGGGGAUAUUCGGACCUUGCGCGAUUGAAUGAGCCGAUGUCGGACUAGCUAGUUGGGGGGGUAAAGGCCCACCAAGGCGACGAUCCGUAGCUGGUCUGAGAGGAUGGUCGGCCACACUGGAAGGGAGACACGGUCCAGACUCCUACGGGAGGCAGCAGUGGGGAAUGGUAGGCAAUGGGGGCAAGCCUGAUCCAGCCAUACCGCGUGGGUGAAGAAGGCCUUCGGGUUGUAAAGCCCUUUUGUUGGGAAAGAAAAGCAGCAGGUCGAUACCCCGCUGUUCUGACGGUACCCAAUGAAUAAGCACCGGCUAACUUCGUG
RNAcentral lists this ribosomal RNA (492 nucleotides) under uncultured bacterium. RNAcentral's name for it is "partial 16S ribosomal RNA". It matches the Rfam family "Bacterial small subunit ribosomal RNA", at positions 29 to 507 of the family's 1533-position model. The record is from RNAcentral.